This 492-nucleotide ribosomal RNA is filed under the name uncultured Glomus. RNAcentral describes it as "SSU rRNA". It matches the Rfam family "Eukaryotic small subunit ribosomal RNA", at positions 569 to 1066 of the family's 1831-position model. Lineage: Eukaryota; Fungi; Glomeromycota; Glomeromycetes; Glomerales; Glomeraceae. The record is from RNAcentral.
AGCAGCCGCGGUAAUUCCAGCUCCAAUAGCGUAUAUUAAAGUUGUUGCAGUUAAAAAGCUCGUAGUUGAAUUUCGGGAUCAAGGAAUCGGUCAUGCCUCGGUAUGUACUGGUUUUAUUGGUUCUCACCUUCUAAAGAACCAUGAUGUCAUUCAUUUGAUGUUAUGGGGAAUUAGGACUGUUACCUUGAAAAAAUUAGAGUGUUUAAAGCAGGCUUACGCUUGAAUACAUUAGCAUGGAAUAAUGAAAUAGGACAUCAGAUUCUAUUUUGUUGGUUUCUAGGAUCGAUGUAAUGAUUAAUAGGGAUAGUUGGGGGCAUUAGUAUUCAAUUGUCAGAGGUGAAAUUCUUGGAUUUAUUGAAGACUAACUACUGCGAAAGCAUUUGCCAAGGAUGUUUUCAUUAAUCAAGAACGAAAGUUAGGGGAUCGAAGACGAUCAGAUACCGUCGUAGUCUUAACCAUAAGCUACGCCGACUAGGGAUCGGAUGAUGUUUA